This is a long non-coding RNA of Metopolophium dirhodum (rose-grain aphid), 589 nucleotides long. RefSeq lists it as uncharacterized. The record is from RefSeq and is a predicted model, not a curated record. The transcript is spliced from 3 exons. Lineage: Eukaryota; Metazoa; Arthropoda; Insecta; Hemiptera; Aphididae.
CAUAUUGCACUAAAACAUACAAAAAAAAGUCCGAGUUGCAGUUUCACAUACUGGCACAUACAGGCCAGAAACGAUUUAAAUGCCCCGACUGCUACGCUUCAUACAAUGACUUGUCAAAUCAAAUAAAACACUGGAACCUUAAACACAACCCAGAGACUAAACAAUAUGAAUGCGAUAGAUGUGGAGAAACAUUUACUUGUGCGAGAUACCUUAGGUAUCAUAAUUAUGCACACGAUGGUGUCCAUCCAUAUAAGUGUGACAUUUGUGGAAUGGAAUUUAGUAGCCCGUCAUUCUUGUCGAAGCACAGAAAAAAAAAGCACAUAACGUGACUAUGGCAAACUUUGAACAAUACCUGUUAGUAUGGUCCUCGGAGACAAACGUUUUGAGAGAAAAAAAACACCAAAAGUGGUCGGUACGUGUUCUAUUCCAAAUCUCAAGUUUCAUCAAACUAUGCAAGGCAUUUGACAAUAUUUGUCGAUGAAGCGAUGUUCUUUUGGAUUUUCAGUUUGAAUGGGCUGUUUUCAGAUUUGUAUACUUUGAUGCUAUUUAUUUAUACUGGGUUCUUUAUUUAUACUUAAUUAUAAAAACU